Molecule: transfer RNA, 72 nt
Filed under: Stegodyphus mimosarum
Lineage: Eukaryota; Metazoa; Arthropoda; Arachnida; Araneae; Eresidae
Rfam family: tRNA
About the family: Transfer RNA (tRNA) molecules are approximately 80 nucleotides in length. Their secondary structure includes four short double-helical elements and three loops (D, anti-codon, and T loops). Further hydrogen bonds mediate the characteristic L-shaped molecular structure. tRNAs have two regions of fundamental functional importance: the anti-codon, which is responsible for specific mRNA codon recognition, and the 3' end, to which the tRNAs corresponding amino acid is attached (by aminoacyl-tRNA synthetases). tRNAs cope with the degeneracy of the genetic code in two manners: having more than one tRNA (with a specific anti-codon) for a particular amino acid; and 'wobble' base-pairing, i.e. permitting non-standard base-pairing at the 3rd anti-codon position.
Source: Rfam by way of RNAcentral
GCCUUCGUGGUGUUGUGGUCAGCACGCUCGACGCUUAUUCGCGAAGUCGUGGUUCGAGUCCUGGUGAGGGCA